RNAcentral lists this transfer RNA (73 nucleotides) under Caulochytrium protostelioides. It matches the Rfam family "tRNA". Rfam says of the family: Transfer RNA (tRNA) molecules are approximately 80 nucleotides in length. Their secondary structure includes four short double-helical elements and three loops (D, anti-codon, and T loops). Further hydrogen bonds mediate the characteristic L-shaped molecular structure. tRNAs have two regions of fundamental functional importance: the anti-codon, which is responsible for specific mRNA codon recognition, and the 3' end, to which the tRNAs corresponding amino acid is attached (by aminoacyl-tRNA synthetases). tRNAs cope with the degeneracy of the genetic code in two manners: having more than one tRNA (with a specific anti-codon) for a particular amino acid; and 'wobble' base-pairing, i.e. permitting non-standard base-pairing at the 3rd anti-codon position. Lineage: Eukaryota; Fungi; Chytridiomycota; Caulochytriomycetes; Caulochytriales; Caulochytriaceae. The record is from Rfam by way of RNAcentral.
GGUCUCGUGGCCUAAUGGAUAAGGCAUCUGACUUCGGAUCAGGGGAUUGCAGGUUCGAUCCCUGCCGGGAUCG